UACAGAGGGGGCAAGCGUUGUUCGGAAUUACUGGGCGUAAAGGGCGCGUAGGCGGCCUGUUAAGUCGAACGUGAAAUCCCCGGGCUCAACCCGGGAACUGCGUCCGAUACUGGCAGGCUUGAAUCCGGGAGAGGGAUGUGGAAUUCCAGGUGUAGCGGUGAAAUGCGUAGAUAUCGUAAGGAAGACCAGUGGCGAAGGCGGGUCUCUGGACAGUUCCUGACGCUGAGGCACGAAGGUCAGGGGAGCAAACGGG
This 253-nucleotide ribosomal RNA is filed under the name uncultured bacterium. RNAcentral describes it as "partial 16S ribosomal RNA". It matches the Rfam family "Bacterial small subunit ribosomal RNA", at positions 524 to 776 of the family's 1533-position model. The record is from RNAcentral.